GACCUACGGGAGGCAGCAGUGGGGAAUAUUGCACAAUGGGGGGAACCCUGAUGCAGCGACGCCGCGUGGGUGAAGGAGUAUUUCGGUAUGUAAAGCCCUAUCAGCAGGGAAGAACAAUGGCGGUACCUGACUAAGAAGCACCGGCUAAAUACGUGCCAGCAGCCGCGGUAAUACGUAUGGGGCAAGCGUUAUCCGGAUUUACUGGGGGGAAAGGGAGCGCAGGCGGCGCGUUAAGCCUGGUGUGAAAGCCCGCGGCCCAACCGCGGGACUGCAUUGGGAAAGGGCGCGCUGGAGGGCCGGGGGGG
Molecule: ribosomal RNA, 305 nt
Filed under: uncultured bacterium
Lineage: Bacteria
Description: partial 16S ribosomal RNA
Rfam family: Bacterial small subunit ribosomal RNA
Source: RNAcentral